CGGGGGUGUGAGUGUUGGAGGAGGAGGUCAAGGGGGGACACGUGCACAUCAUAACAAGUGCCGACUGCCGACGGCGUAGCUUGCAGUGUUGCUUGUGUCUUCUGUGAAGUCGGUCGGUCUACCGCGCUUAAUAUCACGGCAGCUGAUAAUCUUUUAUCACGGCAGGUGAUAAUAGAUGCGGUGUCCCCAGGACUGGUUGAUUGGCAGACCCUACUGCAGCUACGAUCUUUACAUGCGUGAGGACACUACAUGACCCCCCACCUUUGCGUCUGACCGCUACUUUGAUCGCACGAGUCCAAUGGCGGUGGUUCAACGUUAUCCUACAAACCCAAGCCCCAAAAUAAUGUCUUCCGACGGCAACGUGUCAAAACUUUCUCUGAUGCAGGUAAGAUUUCAGGUUAUUGUCGUUUUAAAAUGAUUUUUCAACUUAAAAAAAAUGAAAUGCUUUGUGACCCUACACGUAUAAAAAUGAUUGUUGA
Nilaparvata lugens (brown planthopper) is the source of this 479-nucleotide RNA transcript. RefSeq lists it as uncharacterized. The transcript has 2 exons. NCBI's taxonomy places the organism in Eukaryota, Metazoa, Arthropoda, Insecta, Hemiptera, Delphacidae. The record is from RefSeq and is a predicted model, not a curated record.